UUACAUCCAUACAGGGGUUAUGCCUCAUGGCCGUCGCCACCUGUGUGCUCUGAUGGUCCGGAAAGGGCCAAGAGGGCUCGCCACCAGCCAGAGGAAACUUCUAGACCUCAGACUGGAUCCAGCACGUCAACUUUAUGGACAUCGUCUUAGAGCUGGUGCUGCUGGGAAUUCUGGGAAGAGCGAGGGUGCAUCAGAUCAUUUCAGUAAGAGAGUCUGUGCUCUAUAGAGUCUAGAAUGAAUCUGUGCUGCACUACAAGUGUAGUCAAACACCGGAGACGAAGGCUCUUUUUGGACCAGCUGAUUGCUCUCAUCUAUUCGUGCGUUACGCCCAGAUGGACUGAACGGCAGUACACAGAGCGUUAUUUAUUCCAUCUUCAGACUGAGAUGCUGAACUUCCUGGAUGAAAUCUUCACUCUGGACGAGUCUUUGUACGCAGAACCUGAAGCCCUGGCUGCUGCACUGGAGACGCUUUUAUGGCGGAGCCUCUGACGGUUUCAUGAAAGGCUGAAAACAGAAGACAUCUAAAGGCCAACCUUGAUUAGAACCUUUAUUUAACUGUCAGGGAUGCAUGUCUGGUGGUUGACGUGUUGUUAAUGUGUGUUCACAGUUUCUGUACCUGUGGAGGUGUGUCAGGACCCAAGACAUGGGCGACAUGUGAAGAUACCACCAAUUUAUUGAGAUUUCAGAGAGACGUGCUGCCAUUAAGUUGACGUCUUUACAUCAGGACAACGCCCGGAUGACUUCGUGGACCAGAUCCAGAUGUGUAAAAGCUGAUGUUCUGUGAAAAUGUAAUAAAAAGAAGAAACUGUGA
Long non-coding RNA from Trichomycterus rosablanca, 811 nucleotides. RefSeq lists it as uncharacterized. The record is from RefSeq and is a predicted model, not a curated record. Lineage: Eukaryota; Metazoa; Chordata; Actinopteri; Siluriformes; Trichomycteridae. The transcript has 3 exons.